This 450-nucleotide ribosomal RNA is filed under the name uncultured bacterium. Its description in RNAcentral is "partial 16S ribosomal RNA". It matches the Rfam family "Bacterial small subunit ribosomal RNA", at positions 338 to 795 of the family's 1533-position model. The record is from RNAcentral.
CCUACGGGGGGCAGCAGUGGGGAAUAUUGGACAAUGGGGGAAACCCUGAUCCAGCAAUGCCGCGUGUGUGAAGAAGGCCUGCGGGUUGUAAAGCACUUUCGGUUGGGAAGAAAAGUUUGGCGCCAAUACCGCCGAACCUUGACGUUACUGACAGAAGAAGCACCGGCGAACUCUGUGCCAGCAGCCGCGGUAAUACAGAGGGUGCAAGCGGUGAGCGGAACCACCGGGCGUAGAGCGUGCGUAGGUGUGCGCAAUCCCCGGGCUUAACCUGGGAACUGCAUUCGAUCCUACAUGGCUAGAGUAUGGUAGAGGGAAGUGGAAUUUCCGGUGUAGCGGUGAAAUGCGUAGAUAUCGGAAGGAACACCAAUGGCGAAGGCAGCUUCCUGGACUAAUACUGACACUGAGGCACGAAAGCGUGGGUAGCAAACAGGAUUAGAUACCCUUGUAGUC